GAUGAAGAACGCAGCGAAAUGCGAUAAGUAAUGUGAAUUGCAGAAUUCAGUGAAUCAUCGAAUCUUUGAACGCACCUUGCGCUCCUUGGUAUUCCGAGGAGCAUGCCUGUUCGAGCGUCAUUAUAACCCCUCAAGCUCAGCUUGGUGUUGGGGCCUGCUGCACUGGCAGCCCUUAAAAUCAGUGGCGGCGCCAUCUGGCUCUAAGCGUAGUAAUUCUUCUCGCUAUGGAGUCCUGGUGGAUGCUUGCCAUCAACCCCCAAUUUUUCUAUGGUUGACCUCGGAUCAGGUAGGGAUACCCGCUGAACUUAAGCAUAUCAAUAAGCGGAGGA
RNAcentral lists this unclassified non-coding RNA (329 nucleotides) under soil metagenome. Its description in RNAcentral is "partial contains 5.8S ribosomal RNA, internal transcribed spacer 2, and large subunit ribosomal RNA". The stretch from base 1 to 120 matches the Rfam family "5.8S ribosomal RNA", at positions 35 to 154 of the family's 154-position model. The record is from RNAcentral.